This 24933-nucleotide long non-coding RNA is filed under the name Gallus gallus (chicken). RNAcentral's name for it is "lncRNA (ENSGALG00010028331.1)". The record is from RNAcentral. Lineage: Eukaryota; Metazoa; Chordata; Aves; Galliformes; Phasianidae.
UUGUAAUCAAAGACGCAAUGAAAACACGUGUCAUCAGGACAAUGAUAUUUUGAAUGAAGAUAAAUUAUGUUCUUUCUUCUGGAACUUCAUUGAAGUUGAACCUGAUGAAGUUCAACAAGAACAAGUGUAGAGUCCUGCACCUGGGGAAUAAUAACUGCAUGCAUCAGUGCAGUCAGGGGCUGAGCUGCUGCAGAGGAGCUGUGCAGAGAAGGACCUGGGGGUCCUGGUGGGCAGCAGGCUGGCCAUGAGCCAGAGGUGUGCCCUGGUGGCCAAGAAAGCCAAUGGUAAUUAAAAGCAUUGCAAAGAGCAUAGCUGGCAUGUUGAGGGAGGUGAUCCUCCCCUCUGUUGUGCCCUGGUGAGGCCACAGCUGGAGUGCUGCGUCCAGUACUGGGCUCCCAAGUUUAAAAACAAACAAACAAAAAAAAAACAACAGGGAUCUCCUAGAGAGAGUCCAAUGGAGGGCCAAAAAGGUGAUUAAGGGCUUGGAGCAUCUUCUGUAUGAGGAAAGACUGAGAGAGCUGGGACUGUUCAGUCUGGAGAAAAGAAGGCUGAGAGGGGAUCUCAUCACUGUUUAUGAAUAUCUCAAGUGCAAGAGUCAAGUCAAUGUGGGCAGACUCUUUUCAAUGGCAAGCAACAAUAGAACAAGGGGCAGUGGCCAGAAACUGAAAUAUGGGAAGUUCCAUACUAAUGCAGAGAAGAACUUCUUUACUGUCAGAAUGACAGAGCACUGGCACAGGCUGCCCGGAGAGGUUGUGGAGUCUCCUUCUAUGAAGAUCUUCAAGACCCAUCUGGACACCGACCUGUGUGACCAAUUGUAGGGAACUGCUUUAGCAGGGGGUUCGACCCAGUGAUAUCUUGAGGUUCCUUCCAACCCCUGCGAUUCUGUGAUUCUGAUUGUGUGGCUCUGUGAUUUAAGGCUGUGUAUUUUCCCUCUUCUCUUUUUACAGUUAUUUGAAAAUGUUUUUGUCCUGAAGUCACCCCUCUUUGACUCCCCUUAAAUGGAGUACCAAUCUGAGGUUGGACAUGCUUUAAUAGAGGCUGCUUCUUUCUUCUUCUUCUUCUUUUUUUUUUUUUUUAAGAGGUGGAAAUCAUGGAAUAAUAGAAUGGCUUGGGUUGGAAGGGACCUUAAAGCCCAUGCAGUUCCAACCCCUGCCCUGGGCUGGCUGCCCCCCACGAGGUUAGGCUGCCCAGAGCCCCUCCAGCCUGGUCUUGCACGUCUCCAGGGAUGGGUACCCAUAGUUUCUCUGGGCAGCCUUGGCUUUCCUGCUCCCAUCCAUGCACAUCCUGACAGCAUCUCUCUAUUCUUUGCAGGCCACUCAAUCCUGCUUCCGCUGCCUGCACAUUUUCUUUCCCUCACUCUGACCAGCAGGGACUUGCCCAGCCAUGCCAGUUUCCUGCCUCCUCUACUUGAUUUCUUAUCUUGGAGGUUGGAGAGCUCUUGUACUCUCAGAAAGGUGUCCUUAAAGAGCUGCCAUCUCUGCUCUGUUCCUUUGUCCCUAAGAACAACUUCCCAGGGGAUCUCACCCAACUACUCCCUAAGCAGCCUGAAGUUUGCUCUCUUGAAGUUCAGGGUCCUGACUGCUCUUUGCCAGGUGCAUAUUCCUUGAGAUCACAAAUGAGACCAGGGCAUGGUAGCUGCAGCCCAACCUGCCUCUAAUCUUAAUCUCUUUAUCUGUCUCCUCUGAAUUCAUGAGCUCCCUGGUCCAGUAACCCUUCUCCUCUGUCAGUUAGACUAAUACCUGGGCCAGGAAGUUACUGUCGGUGGGCUCUGGGAGUUUCCUGGGCUGCUUGCAGCUCACUGUGUUGCUUUCCCACAAGGCGUCUGGAUGAUUGAAGUCCCCAUCAGGAUUAGAGUCUGUGACACUUCUUGCAGCUGCAGCAAGAAUGCCUCACCCACAGGCUUUCUUUGGUCAGACAGCCUGUAGUGGACCCCAACCACCAGAUGUCCUUUAUUGGUCCAGUCCCUAAUUUUGACCCACAGGCUCUGAGUCUGAUUGUGGGUGAUUCUCAGAGGCAGCUCUUCACAGUCUAUCUAUUUCUUAACAUAGAGGGCAACUCCAGCACAGGAACAGGUUGCCCAAGGAGGUUGUGGAUGCCCCAUCCCUGGAGGCAUUCAAGGCCAGGCUGGAUAUGGCUCUCGGCAGUCUAGUCUGGUGGUUGGUGACCCUGCACAUAGCAGGGGGUUGGAACUCGAUGAUCAUUGUGGUCCUUUUCAACCCAGGCCAUCCUAUGAUUCUAUGAUUUCAUGAUUGUAAAAACCUCUCAGCCCUCAAUCAUAGCGUUCCAGUUGUGUGAUUUGUCCCACCGUAUUUCUAUGAUAGCAAUUAGGUCAUGGCUUUUUAAUAAUGACCUCAUAGGAAAAAAAUCACUCUCUUUGUCUUGAGCUGAAAAAUAUAGGCGUGUCCAUCUGUUAAGUAAGUUUUUGUGCUCAAAUGUAGAUACGGUUCUCUGAAACGCCUUAACAACUAUUAUGAUAGUGAAAGCAUCUUGACUGCAACUCGAGAGACCUGGAUUCUUUUCCUGAAAUAACCACUGAUUCUCAAGUCACUUAAUUUCCAUAUCUUGAAAACAGAGUAGUGUAUUUGCUGUCUUUCAUAAAGAGCAUUCAAAUCUACAUAUGCAAAGUGAUACGUAAACAUUUGUAAUAAUAUAGUGGGUGAUAUUCUCCAGGGAUAUAAAAAGGGGUGACCAGAAGAUGCUGGGAGAAUGAACUGACUUCUGCAGCUGUAGCUGAGCUCUUUGUCUUACUGGUGGUAAUUUGCAACUCAGAAUUUGGUGGUGGGGAGACAGAGUGCACAGUCAAUCAGAGUGCAGUCAAUUAGAGCAUGGUCAAUUAGAGCACGGUCUGAUUGACUGAACCUUAAGGAAACAUACUCUGUUUGUGUUUGCAUUAACUUAAAGGAUUCUCAAUCAUGAGGUAUGUGUAAACAUAGUGGGGUUUCUAUUUUCAAACUCCAAUUUUUCCUUUUCUGUUGCCUUCCAACUGCCACCUGAAAGAAAUCCCCUGUGGGAUUGCUUCUAAAAGUCCAAGCAUAUCUACAGCAAAAGAAGAACAUUUUGUCUUUACAUACUCACGCUGCAGAAAGGAAACAUUAUGUGGCACCGCAGCAUCAGACAUUUGCUAAGACACGCAGUGGUGGCCCUGUUUAAUUCCUCCUAGUGGACAAACUGCUCCAGCAGUCACCAGUCUAUGAGCUGACUCCUGGCUCCCUGAGGCAGUUAGUGCAGCACUGAGAUGCUGCUUUUAUUUCUGAGCCGUUUGGUGAGUGCGUUUUAAUCAGAGAUGUGGAAGAAGUGUUGGGGAGGAGGUGCAGCCUUCUCCUUCUCAGGUAAUUAAUCAUCUGAUUUUUGGUGUCUCAGUAAUUACUGUUGGCAAAAAAAAAAAAAAGUCAUUUGAAUGGUGGCAAUAUACUGCAAGCAAACAUAACUUUGAAUGACUUUGUUUCAGCCACUUGUCUGUUCUUCGUGAGCAUUUUUACAGUCAGCUGAGGACUUGUAACCAAGCCUUUGGCCACAACUGUCAGCUCCAGAUUGCCUCUAGCAGGCAAGGGUGUGAUUGCAAGAUGCUACCAUUGCUUCUGGCCGCUGGCCUUAUUGUGCUGAGUAUGCACGAAGGGACGUGCACAGCCCUGACUGCUGUUGGAUCUGAUUUCCACUGAAUUCUGCUGACCCUUAAACUGCUGCUGUGAUGGACUGAAGUAGCCUGAAGUGAACCUUUUCUCCCCAGCCAAAGCAAAAUGUUUAUCAGCAGCUCCUCUAAAGCCACUGCUGUUGCCCAAGUCUCUCCUUCUGCUGUUUGCUGCCUGCAGGAAGGCACGGGGAGAUAGCGAGCAGCCUGGGUGAACCUGCUCUGCUCCGACAGCCACUUUAGUUACCUGCCCCGAACCUCUGCUGCCAGCAGAGGCAGCUGUUGGUUCUGAGGCCAUCUGGAGGCACAAGGCAGGAUUUGAGGGAACUGCCUUUCUCUGGAGCCUCUUGUAGCACUCGUAGGCUUUGUUUAGUUAUUUAUCCAUCCUUCCAAUGCCCGUGCCAGUUUAGAACUUCCCAACGCUUUAACUACCAGAGUGUUCCUGAAUAGGUCAGAGUCAUUAUCCAUUCCUAUGAGGCAUACUGAACAGAAGAUUUGUUUUAAAAACAGAUGAAACAAUCAGCUUCUGAGCUAAUGUGGGGGUUUCUUGUUUACAUGGGCUUCAGCUCAGGCUGGACAAGGAGCUGGAAGAGUUUCUGCUGUGGGUACUCCUGUAUGUUCUUGCAGAGAUUCUUCGAACGCCGGUGGUUCUGUUAGCAUCCCUACGAGUGAAGCUGUGGUUGAGCAGAACCAAUUUAAAGUUGUUACAUUUGUCUGAGCUAAUCUUAUUUAUUUCAGGGCUUUUGCUCAGCUCUGCCCUUCUUGUUCCCGAGCACCUCUGCAUGAGUCGCCGCGGGCACAGCUGUGUGCUUAGGGACUCAGUUCUAUGGGAGCUCCCAGCUCAGGUUUGGGUACUGAGUGUUCCCCAGUCAGUAGGAGGAAAAAAACUCAGAAAUCCUCAGAGUGACUGCUGCCAUUACUUUGCAGAGAGCCUGUGAGAGCUCAUUUAUAAGGCAUCUGACAGCAAUCAGCACCAGAUCGUUCAUAAUGUCUUUGGAGUGUUUGAGGCCAGAUAAAUCCGACUGAUUUUCUGCCUUUGUGAAUAGCUGUGAGCAUAAAUUAAUCUCUAAUUUGAGGGGAAUGCUGCGUGUUAGAUGGAAAUGCAGGACGGAGCUGGAGGGGGCAACCUGGGCCUUUUUAUUCUAUCUAAACAUUAAAAUGUUCCAUCUGUACUUCUACUGCGAUCUGCAGUGGAAGUCAAAGGAAGGAUUUUGUCUCUCUUCUUUUAUAUUUAGCAUUUCUCUCAACACUUCAGAAUGUUGUCUCUGUUUUUUUGGACAAGGGGUGCAUGUUUUUUCCCACUUCUUAUUCAUUUAUGAAUUUAAAGGUCAACGUUGGGAUUUUUCGUACUCAGAAGUGUAUUUUCUGUUUAUUAUUCAUAUUUUAGGUGAGUGGUAUUUUAUUUACUUUAUUGUUUGUUCUAGAUGUUCAGCUAUAUCUGUGCUAAGAAAAAGGUCCAUUACUCGACGCAGGUGACUAGCUCUGGGUGCCCCCACCUGGUUGGAGCUGCCUAUUUCAUUGCAGUGUUGCUAAAUCCUUUCUGUAUGGUUUUCAUUCUGAAAAAGAUUAACCACAAAACAGCAAUGCAGGCAGUUCAGAUUCCUGCAGAGCACUGCUUAUGCAUUUGGUGUGUAUUUCAACUGGAGUAUGUCAGCAGCUGACAACAGGAAAGAAUCAUAGAGUGGCCUGGGUUGAAAAGGACCACAAUGACCAUCAGUUGCAACCCCCCUGCUAUGUGCAGGGUUGCCAACCAUCAGACCAGGCUGCCCAGAACCACAUCCAGCCUGGCCUUGAAUGCCUCCAGGGAUGGGGCAUCCACAGCCUCCUUGGGCAACCUGUUCCUGUGCUUGGACUGAAGGUACCGAGCUCUUCAGAACUGACUGACCCUGGCAGUUCUGAUUUGAGGUGUAAGGCACGGAUCUGAGCCAUACGUGUUCUUUGCCACUAGGGUGGUGAUGCAGACAAGUUGAUGUUCGGAAGGCAUACAGCUAUGCUGGGCUAAUGUUUGAGCCUACAGUAAAGUGCCUACCACAAACCCAUCCUUCUUGAUAUAAAGAUGUCAAAUAUUCUUUUACUACUGUUAAAGGACAUAAAGGAAAAGUUGCAGAAAGAAAUUCCCUUCUGAGAUUUUCAGUUGUAAAAACUGUUGUUCUCAUACAAACUUCAAAGCAAAGCUAGAAGAACACAUGAAGAGGCUAUUAGUGCAGCUGUGGUUUCUAAAAUACGUGGCUCAUGCAAGUCCUGAAAGGUACAACUGCUCCUUUACCAGCAUGAAAGCUGGAGAGCAGCAGAGCCCCGACAAGUGCAGGAGGCUGUUUGGAUGUCACACAGUUCAGUGGUCUCACAGUCCCAGUGUCAGACACACAGAGCCAGGCCCAGGCUGAGGUUGUCCCAGAAGAUCGUUGCUGUAGAUUACUGAAGUACAAAGGCUUGUAAACAACUACAGUGUCCACACGCGGGGCUGAAAAUGAGCUGUUAAGAGCUGAAAAUAUCAAUGUCUGAAAUUGGAAUUACUGACUCCUACUGGUUAGAGUUCCACCUCUCCCACGUAGAGAAUUGUUGGAUGCUCAUAAUGUAGCUUUUCACACUUUUUACUCUGUCCCUUAAAUGAUGUCUGUUUGAAUGUGAUUUCUUGAAGCCUUCAUUAUUUGUAAGUGAUUAUGUCAGGCUUUGAUAUAUUUUAGCUAUGAGAGUGUUUGAAUUAUCUGCUUUUCUCCUUUCAGCUGUCAUUUCAGGUAAAUGACAAUUCUGCAAGUUUGUGGUUUUGACUUCUCACCUCAGCGGUUUGGAUCAGUGAUUGAGGACGUGGACCCAGGAAUUUGAAGAUGAGCUUCACUUUUAAUGUCUUCAUUUGGACACCAAGCAAAUCCCUAACUAAUUGAGGCUGAAAUGCCUUAGGAUGAUAUUUGCUGUUCUUUAUUUAAAUUCAGAGAGUUUAUCACCACACGGACAUUUCAGUUGCUUAUUCUAGGAAACUCAUGGAAACGUGCUUUGUUAAAUAAUGUAUUUUCUAUUUUUUUUCCCUUCCUUGUGUUACAAAAUGAAUGUAAAAGCUUUAAAACCCAGCAUUCACCACUCUGCAGUAGAUCUAAUAGAGUGGCAUUAUAUGAAGAGAUGCCAUGGUAACUGAAGUUGCCAAGACAGUCAGUGUCAAGCUUUUUAAUGGUGACUGCUAUACUAUAUUUGGCUUUGAUUACCACAAUCUGAAUAGCAAAUGGAAAGUGUUCACCGGUCUCAUUUGCUACCACCUACAGUCCAGAAGUAACGAGAUGACAGAAUUCAGUGUUGCACUGACUGCCAACCACUGGCCAUCAGGAUUGUUCUUUGCAGCACUCCCCUCUCCCACUGGAUCUCAUGGCAUCCUUAUCACAGCCUUACCAUUUGUGCUAUCCAGUUGGUGAUAUGCCACUUGUCUUAAUGAAAUUUGGCACCUGAAGCCAGUAGAGGAGUCUGCACUUUGUGAGCUGGCAAAAAAUCAGCAAAGUCAUUUCCACAGGAAACUGUUCUUUAAAUCUGUAAGUGGUGCGAAAGCAGAAUAAAGCAGAAACGUACACUGUUUUUUUCUCAUAAAUGGGUUAAGUGUACCUUACCUCCCUUGCUGUAAAGCUUUGUAGAUCCUGUUAUCAUCAGUUUUCACAAAAAUGAUACUUUCUUCUGUCUCCAUAAUUUUGGUUUAUUUUUUAAAUGCCAGAAUAGAAAGCGAGGUCCCAUCGCCAAGGUGCCAUUUUAUCAUUUUGCUCACUCUAAUACAAAUGAUUUACCUAUACACUGAAGUAUUACCGUAAGUUAUAAUGAAGCUCCUUGCUAAAACGUGCAGCAGCAGUUCCAAAACGUUACUCAUUACCUUUAAAUCCAGAACUAAACUUUCUGCCAGUAGUAAUAGCCUCAUGCUGUUAAAAAGGACUGUUUUUAACAUGCUGUUAAAGGACUGCUUUACUUAAAAGGAAGCAGUCACAGAGCAGACUAUGAAAUGCUUCUUGAAUGAGAUGAACAGUCCUGGCCAUAACAGUUGUAGACUAUUGGGAAACUCAAUAGGCAGCUAACAGGAACAACUUGGGUAGGAAGAGCUUGAGGGUGAGUGCAGCUCAGCUCAGAACAGCCUUCUGUCAUUCUCUCUUGCAGUUAGGCAGACAUAAACAAAGAAGCAUGAUGGGAAGAAACUGAUAUCUUGGAGGGAAGGGAAAGACUAAAUAAAGAGUAGGGAAAAAGCUUUAACAAUGUGAUUCUUUAGAUAGAAAGCUAGUCUCAAAAGACCUAUCCCUUGACACAUGAAAAAUUGAUUGGAGAAAGCAGUAGCAAAUAGUUUUCCAGGAAGAAUGUUGUAUUGGCAGGAGGAUGGAUAAGAUGAUCACAGUUCAUUUACUUAAGUUAUAUCCAACAGCAUUAUGAAGUAGGAGAAUAUAUGGGUGAUUUCAUGUGGUUUUGGAUCGUGUGGAUUUUGAACAAACCAGUCAGGAGGUAGCAGCAUUGCUUUGGAGAUCAGCAAAUGAAGAAAAACAGCUUCAGUUGAAAGGGAACAGAUUUGACAGGAAAAAUUCAUAUUUGUUAAAGAUUGGUUUAGAAUACUGACAUCAAAUCUCACUGUCAGUGGAUAUUUUCUUCAACGGCUGUAUCUCUACUGCUAAAAUGCAACACAACAAAUUCAGAUUCAUUCCUAAGAUCAAUUUGUUCAAGUCAACAAAAUUUUUGUCACACCACUGUUAAACCUGAGAUGCCUCAAAUAAAGAGUAUAACUUGGCUUGAAAACAGCACGAAGGAUGAAUGUAAUCCAUGCCAUCGAGAAAAUAGCCAAUGUUAAACUAGAUGAGUUUGACACCAAUUCAAAAGGCAUCUUCUUGUGUCCUACAUUCUAGUAAUUUUGUUGACUAAAUUAUGUGUUUAAAUUUAUACGGCAAACUCAGGCCAGCAUUUGGGUUCCUGUGAUUAUUCAUUUGUAAGGCUGUGAAUGCUUAUUAAUGGCUCCUGGCUUUAGAAUGAGCGUUUAUGCUUCCAAAGCACUGCACAUGACUAAUUUGUUCUUCUGCUUAUUCGAAAGCAGCAGGGGUUGUCAAGAAGCCAAAUCUACACUGAAUUAAAACCACGUUGCUUUGCUUCCAUAGAAGAGGUAAUACUUGGCUGUUGUAAAAAAGUCACACUUCAAUUGAGCAUCAGUUCAUCACUGAAACUACAAAGUGGAGCAGUCGCAGAGGUAAGGUGAUGGUAAAUGCAAUGUGACGUUUCUCCUGGGCCAUACUGCAGAGAAACCUUACCUUUGUGUGGUGCAGCUGAUGUUGUGUACUUCCCAGAAAAAACAAAAGAGCUGUAAGGUUGCAGCAGAAUGCCAUGUCAAGGGAACCCAGAGUCUAAUUAAUCUCAGAGAAGUAUAAAGCCAUAACGAGUACCCACUUCAUUUUGUUUGAGUUGGUUUCUGUCCAGGUUAAAGUGAAACAGAGUGACCUGGUUGUAUGUAUGGGCCUGAAUGCGUUCCCAUGUUCUGCUAUAUAUCCCCACUACUAAGAUUCAGUCUAACCUCCAGCGUUUGGCAACCCUUAUUGUCUUCUGCCAGUUCUUCAGUCUUCAGAGGAGGUUUGAAGCUUCUCGAUAACGAUUUCACAUAGCAGUUGUGGAUCCUAAUGGUAAAUAUUUUUGGUUGGCGUUCCCUGAGGCUGCCAGUUAGCAGCUAACAGUGACACUCGACUGGUUUCUGUGCAGUGGAACUGUGCAGUUAGAUUAAAUCUCACUGAGUUAUUGCAAGGAGUUACACUGUGGCUAAAUGUUUGUACCACUGCAACCUGUAGUUUUCAAUAUAAUUCUCUGCAGCCUGGCAAGUGCAUUAAUGGUUUUACAUAGUGCGAGGAACAAAAGGUUGCGCAGCUGCUGGAGGUGGUUAUAAAAAGGCCCAUUUAACAUUCAUAGAUUCAGGGAAAGAAAACAGGAUAACCCUGCUGCUGGUUGUAGGGGUGAGUGUGAGCAGCUGCUUCAUGCGAUGCACAGCUGUGCCAGCGAUGUGCUGCAGAAGCGAUGAAUUAAGCUGUAAAGUGCAAGUCUCUGUGUACAACGUCCCGUUUUUGGAUAGCCCUGGAAAGUAAUGUAGAAGCUGUACAUGAGUGCCUCAAGUCUCUUUGCUUGCCUGUGCAGCAAUUAAUUUCAUACCUAUGCUAUGAAACCCCUGGAACAUCCCGUGUAGUGCGCAAACCAAGCGCUGUGCACAAACCUCCCAGCUAGACCAGAGGAAUUUAUAUCCCCUUCACUGACACACACAGACUGCUGGGUUGGUGCAAUGCUCUGAUGUGUUGGAUAAUAUGUGCAGGUCGUUGAACUUCAGUAGUACUGGAACAUGUGGAACAAACACUCUUGAAAUGAAGAAACUCCCAGCUUUGGGGCUGUGGCUGCAACCCUCCAAGGUGCUAGAUGUGUGAAAUGUGUUCUUCAGCACUGUACCUGAACAAAAAUCCUUCUGUCACUCCCUAGAAUUGCUAAAAAUGCUAGUUGUGUUUUAUAGAUAAAUGAUUGAUUGUGAGUUGUUGGCAUCAGCAACACUGCAGGCAUCACCGCCAUGCAGAGCUUUGUCUGAUUCCUGCCUGGCCAGCAAUGGUAAAUAGGUGCAGGGCUGGAGGAGCUCCAGGUGUCACUGUUAGGACAGCACCUGGGUAACUGGAGGGGCUUGUUUGUCACUGCUGAGGGAUUUCUGUGACCAAGACUCAACAGCUGCAUGCAGGGCAGCUCUGGCUGAAUCACACAGCUUCAGGUGUGGGAAGCAGCACUGCUUUAUGGAGGCUGCCUUUUUACUUUGGAGGUUUCUUAGCUGUUACAUAGUUGGUCACUGAUAACUUUGGCACAUUUUUGGUGGAGUAAUCUUGCCAGCAGCUUGAUACGUAGCUACAGAAAACAAAACAAAAGCAUCCUCACUUUCCUCAUUCUUUCCCCUCAAAUGAAGUAAUUUGAAAAGUGCAGAGCUCUGUUAAAAAGCAGAAUCAUCUGGGAAAGGAAAUUUGUCCUGACAGAGAUGGCAGGGGUUUGCUAAGCAGCAAGGCUGUGUGACUCCAUCCUCGUGGAACUGCUCCAGCACUGACCAGACGCACUCCUUCCAGGUCAGGACAGUGGGAGCUUGAGCCUUACUCUGUCCAAACAGCUUUGGACCAGACUUUGCUGCUGUCUCCUGCUCUGUGGUCCCGUUAUCUAUGGCAGCUUGGUUGGAAUGGUGUUGCUCAGACCUCUUGGGCAAGUCACUGCAAGCCCUGGUUGCUGGGAGAUCCUGUCUGCUUAUCGCAACUCCAGCCAGUGCUAUGACUUGCAAGACGCAGCAUGCUGAGGGCCCUCACUAGCACCUUGUCUCUCUAACUUUGCUAUGGGUUUGUCAUGGGCAGGCUCACUGUCACCCCUUUCCCCCUUCAAACCUGGUUUAAAGCCCCCUCAAUGAACUCAGACAUCUCCUGGGCUAGAAUUCUUUUCCCCUUAGACUCGGGUGGACUCCAUCCAAGCCAGGCUCCAAGUAAACCACCCUGUAGUCAGAAAAGCCAAAAUUCCUGCAGUGGCAUCAGGCUGUCAGCCAUGUAUUUAUCAAACAGACUUUCCUGGUCCUCUCAGUAUCCCUCCCUGCAACUGAAGGGAUUGAGAACAUCAUCUGUACUCCCGCUCCAUCCACUGCCCUUUGGUAUUUGUAAUGUUUGUCACAGUUGUUGGUUCUUGGAAGAAUGCAGUGUGUGCUGCUAAAUGGGGAUGGAAAAUGCAACAGCCGCAUCCAUGUAUAUUGAAAUGCAUUGUGUAGCAUUACAGAAGUGUUUUCAUAAAGCUGACAUUCAGAAAAACAUUCAGAAAUACAUAUACUAUAGCAAUACUAGACAACAUCUGUUAAUAUUUUAUGCUUUUUUAAACUCACAGCCCUUGGAGAAGGAGAGAUUUGACAGUGAAAUAUUCAAUUGAUUUCAGCAGCAGUGGGUCAGAUCCACAAAUCAGGCCAUUGAUGUAAUUUGUCCCUAGAGCUUUAGCUGUCUAUGGAUGCUGGUAAGGUACUGGUGCCUGUUGUUGCCUGCCCUUGGCAGCAAGAGCACUCCCCAUUUGUAAGGAAGUAAUCUAAUUUUAUUCAUCUUCUUGCUUCAUCUUAGACUUUAUUGCCAUCUGUCUUCAUGAGGUAGAUAGAUCGUUUGAGUGUAGCCUUCUGUACUGUCGUUGUCUUUUGUUUCCCUUACAGAGAGCUUGUGUAGAUACUCACUGCUGUUACUGAAGUGGACUGGAGUUUUAAACCUGUUGCCUGUCCUCUUCAUCUCGUCGUAACACAACCUGUUCUCUUGGCAUGACAAAGUAGAAGCUUCCUCUGCUCAGCCUAGUGACAUGUCACCUGGUCACCAACCUUUCAUCUCCUCUUAUAAUAUCCAUGCUGAGUAGUCCUUACAGAUUGACUCUGUGAUAGACAGUCUGUGUGAUGUCUGAUUGGCAUAGAUGGACAGAGGUUGCUCCAAAAGUAAUGCCUCCUAUUUAUUUCCAUGGAAACCAACAGAUACAAAGAGCACAAUAUUAUUGUUUGAUAGAGCACAUUCUCAGCUACAAAACACUGUUUUUCAACACAGAUACCACCAUUAACAAGCAUUUGCAAGCUGUAUUCAUAAAAAUCUGCCUGACCUAUAGGAACGUGGCUUGUCUUUCACAUUGCUGUCACCACUGCUGAAACACACCAUGCACCACCUCAGUGUGUUCACAUCCUCUGUUCGGUCUCCAUUGAUGGAAUGUCAAUGGGUGCCAUUUUUUCUGCAUGGAGGAAUUUAGUCCCACCCCUCUACUCCAUUCAUACUUCCAUGUCAGAUGCCAUUCUUUCCGAUUGCCCCCCUACUGCCAUCUGUCAUAAAGCAAAAAAAUAUAAUGAAAUAUUGACGGGAAGGUUCAACUUCUACUGCCAUCCCAGCACCAUCCACCUCUGAUGUUGUGGGCCAACAUCAUAAAAUAGGAGGCAUUACUUUCAGAGCAGCCCUCAUAACCGAGAAUGUUUGAAUUAAGUGUGCAGCUGUCUUGAUAGCCUGACAGUAACUUCAGCAAAGGGUGGCAGUGCCUAGGCAGAAUGUGUCUGAAAGCAGGAUUCCCAGUCUGGGAGGUGGAAUUACUUCUCUCUUUGUAUCUUGAUUAUUUAUUUUUGCUGUAUCAACUCUAAUGCUGGGCUUUUGUGUUCACAUCAGCACUUGGUGGAACCAUAUUGGUGGCCCUUUUGAUGGAGGUGAGAGUUUGUCAUUGGUGUAAGGAGAUUUCAUUGUUGUAUCAGUUCUGUAGUUCUUUGACACUCCUAUGUAAAUAUGGUAAAUCCAAACCAAUCCAUGUAUUUGCAUCUCUCCGAGGAUCUGCUUUGAAAUCUGCAUUUCAACAGCCUUUGUAACCGUACCUCAACACAAUGCAGAUAAGAAAGUGCUUUCUGCCAUCCCUGUUAAAAUGCAAGACAGCUUUUCCAGCUGGACAUAACUGCGUACCUUCACUGGUCUCCCCACAAUUGGGAUUUUUCUUCCUUUCCAAGAGUGAGCAGUGCCAUCAUGCCACCAAGCAUGGCAGCAGCUGACACAGGGAUUAAACUGCUUCUUCCUUGCUCUCUGCCUGGAAGAUAAUUCUUGAAGGAAGUACAGUAGGAUUUAGGAAAAAUUUCUUCUUCAAGAGAGUGGUCAGACACUGGAAGGGGCUGCCCAGGGAGGUGGUGGAGUCACCGUCCCUGGAGGUGUUCAAGAAACAUGUAGAUGUUGUACUGAGGGCCAUGGUUUGGUGGGGAAGUACUGGUGGUAGGUGGAUGGUUGGACUGGAUGGUCGUGGAGGUCUCUUCCAGCCUUGGUGGUUCUAUGAUUUUCAGCACAUGUACAUAUUUAAGGCAUUUUUUAAAGUGUGUUUCUGAACUUCAUAUUUAGAAACCUGCUUAUUCAAGCUUAUGCUUUGCUAAGUUCUAGGAAAUGAAAUUAACUUGAAGAGCAACUUACUGUAAUUUACUGUGAACAAGUUGUAUCUGUAACAGAAGCUUGCUGGCACAUGCUGCUUUAGGUUGGACAAGGGAUAUGAGUGUGUGUAUCUUUCUGCUAUGUGGUAAGACUCCACGUGAGGAUAGAGGUCCUGGGGCCUCAGAGGAAGACUGAUGUCUUGCCUGAGGAGGAAAUUCAAGGUGUGCGGUCAUGGUUGAUGUAAAAGCCAUUCUGCUCACCCUGCCCUUUGGGCAGUCUGCCCUUCCCAUCCUGCAUAGGUCAAUCCUUUAGGUCCAUCUCAUACGCUGUGGACCUUGCGUUAAAGGGGAGAAUGCACUGCUGGAGGUGUGCCAGUUUCUGAUUCCAAAUGUUGGUGCAUCUUCUCAGCUUCUUUCAUGCUUUCUCUGGCGAUUGCUUCCGUGAAUACAAAAUCUGACAAAUAAUUGCAUUUUGAAGGGCAUGCUUAAUGGAGGUCCAUAAAAAUGAUUUACAGGCAACUGCAAACUGAACUAUUACACUAAAGGAUAAAAAGCUUCCUUAAUGAGCUGUACAAGACAGUUAUUGAUGUAUUUAUGAAAACAUUCCCCAGUACAUGCAACCAGGGGAAUUCAAAGAUAAAUAUUUAAAGAUUGUCUGACAGUUUUUGAAUGUAGCAAAACUCGGGUUCCUCUGGUUCCUCUGUAGGGCAGUAAAUGUCUUGAAACAAAAGUAUGUGUGAUUUGUAACAGAAGAGAACAAAACCUGUCUUAAAACUAGAUGUCUUUCUAUGUGACAAUGCUUUGUUCAACCUAAGAGAUAAAGCAAGGAGAAAAUAGGCAUGGGAAGCUUAAGAUAUUAAUAAGGUAAGCCAACAUUUUUUUUCUAUCUAGGUAAUUUAUUAGAAUGGUGUCAAAGAAAUGUACUUAAGAUGAUGAAAUGUAACAACAGUUUUGCGUUUGAUUGAGUUUCCUUCCAUCCCAUCAUUGCUGUACACAAUCAGGUUAUUCAAGUGUGAUCUUUAAGUGUUCACAUUGUGAUUUAUAAUCUUGAUCUUCGCACCCCAGGGAGAGAAAAAUUGGUCUGUUGUUAUGAAUCUGAUUAAUAUAUAGAACAAUGUGUGCCCUUUUGGUAUUUAUUACACACAUGUGCUUUUAGUUUGGAUUAUCUCAUUGUUACUUGCACUUUGCAGGCAUACUGCAUUACUCUCUGAGUAACAAACUGUAGAAGCAUUCUAAGUAUUGGGGCUGACACUUGGUGUGGCAUCACCUUGUCAUUGGUGCGCUUUAUAUCCUUGACUGGCUUAAUAAUUGAUAAUUUUUAAAUAAUAUGGUUUUCUUUAGGACCACAGCUGCUGUGUCAUGUAACUCCUCCUGCCAUACAGAACGAAGAUCUGGCUCAUGCUAUUAAAUAAGCUCUAGAGUCUUUUUUAGACUUCUUCCACCACAUUGUUUCUUGGGCUACAGACUGAGACUGGGCUAUGGAGCCUUUUCCUUUGAAGGUUGGUAGAAGGAGUGAAUGAGGGACAGGGGCUGUGCUAGCCAGCCUGUGAAAGGUGCUGGCAGCUGCCCUGAGUGUUGCUCAUGGGUAGAAGAGCUGCAUUAGCAGCCAGUGCUGAAGGUUAAUAGAAGAGUUUUAGUCUUGGGGGAUCUCUUCUUCAGCACCAAGAAGGGUUGUGAUGAAGCUGAAUUUCCCCCUGGGUGACGAUGCUGGUCCCGUUUUCACUUACAAGAACAUGGAAUAUAUUCAUCAACAUUCAUUAACUUCAUGGAUCUCAAGGAAGCACUCAUAACCUCCACUAAGACUUCUGAGUUGUAAGUGUAGUAUGGGGUAGUAUUUAAGCUUUUCUAGCUUUCUGCUGGGAUAUAAGGGUUUGGGUUUCUUUCUUUGUUUUCCUUGAUGUCAUUUGAUUGCUUCAAAUUUUACUUUUUUGGCUUAUUUUUCCUGUUUCAUUUCCCCUGUAAGGACGCAGCAGUUCACAUGCACCAAAGUCUCUGUAAUAGUGUCCUUACAAUGAAAGGGGAUUUGUGUACUAAGGAUUGUAUCAGUGAAAAACUAGUGUUGGAUUUUUGCUAUGUGGGAAUGUAAGGCAAGGAGAGCAGAAAAGGAAUAGCCAAUACUUUUGAUAGUUAAGGAAGCACAAGGGUACACAUACAAGUCCUGAGCCUUGGAAAGGUUCUCAGUCCAGCUCUGUAUAUCUGACUCAGUAUGGAACAGCCUGUGUUAAUUUAACUUAAAUCUCUCCUGCACCAAAUUGUAGGUGGGAAGUCUGUUGAUCAAAGCCAGACUUUUAAAGCAGGUUUCCUGUAGUAGUGUGUAAAAUCAGUCUUUGUACAAGAGUAGUUCUGUCACCUGCCUUGCAAGCAAAUUACAUUAUGCAAUUUAGAGCCCAAGUAUGGCUUAACUUCAGUGGAUAAAUCUCAUGCCUGUUGUGAAAGCAUUCAUGUCCUUGGGGCCUGUAUUUGAUUUCUCAAUAUGUAGGAACAAUAGAAAUUUGAAGAUUUUGAUUGAAAUGCAACCCAUGGAUUAUGCACGUAACCAUUUGCAGCCUUUACUUAUGCACCUGUUGUGAAGACGCAUCCACACUAAGGAACUGCAGCUCAGCCUCUUUGCUUGGCUGCAGUGCCUUUUGGUGUAAGCUAGUGGAGAUGUUUUGCCUCUAUCAGAAGAACUGAAGCACUGUUCUUCCAGGGAGGCCGGCAGCAACAAAGAAAGAAGGAUGCCCUGAAUGGCUGUUGGAGGCUGUCAGACUGUUAUAUCUCUUGUAUUUACUGCUUUACUUGUUGCCUUUGGAAGAUUAUUGCUGUCAGUGCUUGAAGGACCCUGCUCCACAGUCACCUAGAUGAUCUCACCUUCUAUUCUGUAUUGUUUUCAGAAAAUACAAUGGUUAGCAUGUUAAUGGUUAACAUACAGUUUUAGCAGCUUCAGUUGCAUUAUAACUCAAAAAUUCUGUCAAGAAGAACUUAGAUUGAGCUUCAGAUUCUGACAGUGUCCUGAAGACAAUCUUACUGGCUUCUCCCAGGUGACUUGCGUUUCCAUUCUGCAGGCUGGAGCAAUGUGAUGCUGAGGUGAUCCAGAAUUUCUGACUCUGUGCAGAUCAGCCCUGUCCCUGAGCAACCACCAGGCAGGUACGAUUUAGAUGAGGGUACAAAAGCAUGGAGACCCCUCAGAUUUAUGGGUGCCUCAGUCACCUAGAGCAGAUUGUCUGUGAGAUGAGAGUGCACAGAGACCACAGUUGGAUAUUGUACACCUCUGGAGUAGUUACCUUGGCAACUAUCAUACUGUGUGCGGUUUGGUUGCGAGGAACUGGCACAGCAGAGAAGUGUGACAUGUGAGACAUAAUCCUCCGUGCAUUUCCGAAGAUGGCAAGCAGGUGAUGGCGUGAGCAUUUCUGCUGUUGGCAGCGUAACGGCCACGAGCUCAUUGCUGUAGCAGCCCUACUCUCACAAUUUAAAUUCCUCAUGUUAACAAAAAUGAAGAGCUGUGCAGUGGUACAUGUUAUCAGCACUUUUUCUGGAGGAGUUCCUUGAGAAUGAAGGUGAAUAAAACCAUCCUGCUUACCUCACCACCUCCCACUCGUUUUGCCUAAAACGCCUCAUUGAAAUUUCUUAGCAGAGCAGGGCUGUGCAGCUCCUGGAGGAUCCUCUUAGAUCUUGGUUGGUGGGAGGUGGAUUUGCCUGGGCUGCUGACUUCUUUUUCUUCAGAGACCUCGGUAAGCUGUGUGAGUUCCCAGGGCACCCAUCCCAUCCCCCUCCCAGCCCAGGGGAGCCCACAUGGCUCAGAAUAAUGAAGGCCCUUACUGAGGGUGUCAGGGUUCACGAUUCCUCUCCUCUAGUUCUUGUGAUGAUUCUAUAAGGCGCCAGUAGGGCUUGUUAACAGAGCUGAUCAAUGAAACUUGUGUGCAAGGAUCGCUAAGAUCAAUUCUGCAAUGAAUCAAAGAGUCCUUCCAGUAUUGACUUUCUUUUUAAACAGCAAAAACUGGAAGAAAAAAAAAUAUAAGAGUAUUCACCACUAUUGGUGUGUGUGGCUGAGCCGUCCCUGAAGGGCAGCAGUCUGCAUGCAGCUGUGCCAGGGGUUCCAGGUGGCACAGACCUCAGAGACCCCCGAGUGAGGAAGCAGAGAUGGGGUUGCUCAUGGUGCUGUAUUUUGGCCCAUGCUCAGUGCGUCACUGUUGUUUGAAUCUUAAAAAGAUUGCCCCCUCCUCGUUCCAUUUUAGUUUCCUGGUCGUAGCUUUUGUCUUUCCAUAGCAAAUGUGGUUCCUCAAGCAUUGCAGAGUACGGGCGCUUUUACUUGACUUUGAAAUAUUUUAAGCCUGAUUCUCUUUCACUUAGCUUUCACUUCUAGAAAUGAAAAAUAUCAGAAUAGAUGGAGUUGCUCAUUUUCUGUGUAAUUCAGUGAGAACUCUGUCAGGUCAAGUCUAGCACAGACAAGAGGCCCCUCACCGCUGGGUAGGAAGAGACAGCUUGGUAGUCUGCAUUCCAAGUCAAGGUGCAUUUCCAGGAGAGGUGGGAAGGGGGGUGGCAAAGCAAGUUUCACAGAACUCUCUUAGUUCUCCUUGGUGGAGUAAUCCCUGUUAAAAAGCUGACUGAUCAAUGACCAUAAGGAGAUAUACCACUGUCUUGUACAGGCUUACUGUACUUGGAAGUGCAAUCAGUGUUUUAAUGACUGUUCCCUGCUGCAGUAUGUUUAACUGCAUUGAUUGAUACCUUAAAACUGUGGCUGUUCAUUAGGCUUUAAAAAUUUUCCUUCUUUAUGUGUUGUAUGUGGGAGUGUAAGCCAUCAGCUUAUGUAAAAUGUAACGUUGUCUUUUGGGAUACCCACUCAUUUAAAAAUAUAUAUAUAUGAAAAAAGAUCAGGUGGGUUCAUUCGUCAAGGUGUGAAUGCUUAAGACCAUUUUACUAACGUGAAACCAAAAUCUGGUGAUUUUAGGGGAAUCACAGAAUCACCAAGGUUGGAAAAGACCUCCAAGAUCUUCCAGUCCAACCAUCCACCUACCACCAAUAUUCCCCACUGAGCCAUAUCCCUCAGUACAACACCUAAACAUUUCUUGAACACCUGCAUGGUUGGUGACUCCACCAUGUCCCUGCGCAGCCCAUUCCAAUGCCUGACUACUCUCCUGGAGAAGUGUUUCCUAAUGUCCAACCUGCAUUGGAGUUAACAUUCUGUUGUGUUUUAGUGAGUAGAGCACAGUGUAGGGUGGGUUUCUUGUACAAGUGCAUCUAUUCAUUCAGCAGCAAUACAAACCCACGUCAGUAUGGUUUUCAGCACACCCAUGGGUGUGGAUGGGGUUGCUGGUGCUCUCAGGUCUGCUGCUUCCCGCUGUAACAAGCAGCCUGAAAGCUGCAGCUUGCUGUGUGUGUUCACACAGCCUGUCAGUCUGCUGCUGCCAUUUGAUUUAGGAUGAUGAAAGCAGGAGCAAAAUCCAGCUAAAAGUGAAGUGAGUUGUGUUGGAUGGAUUUGUAACUCCUGGUGACCUGAGGAAGGAGAGACGAUGCCGCCGGAUGUCACCUGGCGGUGGGCAGACACCUCAGCCCUGGCUGUAAGUACGGGAGAGUUUUGCAGCUGCAGUCUUCCUUUUCAGCUUUGUUCUCACAGCUCUGGGCCUUCUGGUCGGAUCCAUGCAGGGCUGCCGUGCCGUGUGUCAGUCAGUGCCCUCCCACAGGCUGGGAGCUCUGUACAAUUUGCCCUUUUGAAACAUGAUCCUUUGUUCCUACUGAACUCGGGGCCACUAUCCCAGGAACCUCAUUCCAUUUUCCAGCUGUCUGAAAUUGGGCUUUCUGCUGCAGAGGAUUUUCUUGCCAUAUCAGAGAUUCCCUCUCCCUCCAGGCUUUUUAUUGCUAAAACAGUAGGCUAUGAAUGCUGCAUCAUGGUGCAUACAGGUGUGUGUAUCAGUGUUUGUGCCAGCACACUGCAGGCGUUAUCUUAUGCUGUGCAUUUGUGAAAGUGCUGUGAAUGUUCUGUGGGUUAUAACACUCAAUUGCACGGUGCAUCUUCCCAAAUUCCCACAAAGAACAGCAGAACUGACAGCAAGAGAUGCACUAACAAAAUCACACGGAGCUCUUGCCAAGCAGAGGGCAGUUUUGUUCCUAGGCACUGAAGGACAACGAUGACCAACAACAUGCUUGCUCCUAUAUUAAUAGGUUUUAUUUCACCAUAAAUCUUACCGCACACCCUGCAGCUUGUUGUGCCUUUGCCACACUAAACCGUCCUGCAGGACGUUGCUCACAUCUUGUUCACGUGCUGUCCUUUCUGAUCAACCUGCCAGGCGAUGGAGCAGGAUAGGGAUGUCAGGGCAGAACUGACCAGGAGGUACGGACUGCUUCAGCCAGGAGGAACAACACUGACUCCUGUGUUUUAUCUGGCUGCUGGCUGUGGGAAUCCUGCCAACCAGCUGGUGAAAACGGUAUAAAAUCUGACUUUGUGUAAUAUUACACUUGUUUCUGUGAUCCUUGCUUUUAGCAAAUAGUUCAUUCCUAACCGCUGUUGGGAAGCAGGCAGACUGACAGUGCUGUGAGUGCACGUGGGCUCUGCUCUGCAGACACAGCCUGUGUUUCCAGGGUUGUACUCCAUCUCCCUUCCAUGCUUUGGUACUCAGAAAGGAUUAACUUUGCCCUCAGUGCCUUUACACAAACAGCACUAAAAUAUUUGAAGGAAUGUGAUUUUCUCUGGGGCUGGAUGGAAUUAAAGCAUUGUACUUGUCGUGAUUUAAGGUUGUUUCUGAUGAUGGAGGCUGGCUGAGGUUUCUCACUUCUGCUGUCCUCUCUUGCAUGCCUUGUUUCCUACAGUCUGUGUAACAAGCUUUCCCAGGGGAAAUCUCCCAGCAACAGCAUGCGCUGAUGAUGCUGUGACGCCUGGCUGUCGGAGUUGUUGCACACAAAUAGGACUGACAAGUGAAACAGAAAAUGUGAGACUAUCUGAUGUUCCAGGGAGGAUGGCUGAAGCAUGGCCACUGCAGGAACGCGGCUCAGUUAAACUUGCUUCUCCCACAGCAAAGAUCAUUAGGUUAAAAAACAGCUGGUCUUUUGACAGGCCUGCUUUCCAAAUGAGACAGCACCAACACCAGCUUUCAGUUUUAAGAAGCUGCCAUUAUUUAUCCCUUUAAAUCACUGAUUUUAUUAGUUCUGCUGGCAGCUUUCUUAGCUGAAUCUGCAUUUUGUGUAAUUUGUUGUAAUUCACUUGUGCGGGCAGGUUACUAUUUUCUUUGUGCUUGUAACUGUGAUUACAGUGUUCAGACUUUCCAACCCUAGCACUGUACCCAGGGUAGGCAGUGUCACCUGUUGAGGUUGCCCAAGAGCUCCCACUAUAAAUCCUAAUUUCUAAUACAUCCAUGUAUCUCUACAGCAGUCCCUGUGCAGACUUGUUGCUGGCUCACGCCUGCCAGUACUUCACAGAGAUGCAGAUGCCAUUGGUGGACUUUUCACUGCUGGACAGAAGGCAUUUGUGUGAUUGCUUGUUGUGAAGUACCUUCUGCAGAGACUGCCUGCAGUUUUGGAAGGCAGCUGGAUAGCAUCAUGCAUUAGUAAUCUAAUGACCUUUACCCCUCGGCACCAUUUCCUCACAUCUUGAACAGCUUGGCAAUACUAGGAAAGCAUCCCAUGGUUCAGUACAGUUGUGUAAUAGAAGUUCUUCUCAUUACAUUUCACUCAUUGACUGAUUUUAUCUCAAGAGUAAGCACAGCAGCUAGAAAUCACAGGAAGCCUCGGAAGAGAGUUGGAUUAAUACCUGAAGGCAGUUUCCUCUGGAAGUGAGCUUUCCUUCGAGGCAUGGAGCAGCACUGCUGCUGUGGCUGCUGCACUGGGGCUGCAGGAAGUCCCUCUGUGCAGACAAAACUCAUUCUGGGAACAUGCAAAGAACACAGAGUUUGGACCCAAUUACUCACUCUGCCAUCUUUUUUUAUCCUCAAGGAUGGGGGGGAAUCCUUUAUCAGUGCAUAGUAAUCGUCUUGAUGUCCAAUGAAAAGAGCAAUGACAAACAUUUCCUUGCCAGACAAUGAGUAUUGCAGGCAGACAGCUGGGUUACUUUCCACCUUUGCACGAGCACAUCUGCUCAACGAGCACGGCGUGCAUUCGGAGAUACCCGAGCACGCAGGGCUGACAUUUGCUUUUCAGAAGCGCCCCCCUGACAGGCACUUGAAUGCUCAGACACCCGUGUGAAAGGUACACAGGACAUCAGUGGGACGAGCUGCGUAACUCACACCAAUGACACGUCUCUUUUCACUUGCAGUAUUUAUAGCUGGCAGUGAUUUCCCAUUGCGCACUUUUGCUUUAGGAAGGACUUCUAAAAUAUCAAGAGUUUGUUCCAUACAGACCUUUUCCUUUGGGUACAUGAAGGAGGCUGAUGUCAACGGCAGCUCUCGGACGUGGCCCUGAAUACACAGCAGUACGAGCCAUUCUGCUUGUGCAUGUGGUCAGCUUUUGCUUCAGUCUUCUUGUGCUUCUGCUUGUGCUUCAGGCAGCAUGACUUUCAGAGCUCUUCAUUUUAUUUUAUGGCUAAUUUCACGAAUUCAUUAGGGGCAUUGUAGUGGCAGUGCUCAGUCACAGCCUGAAACAGUGAUGGAGCACCUGGUGGGAAGGCAGGGCCAACCCAGGGGAGUUCAGGUGCACGUAGUGCUGCUGAGUGACUAGAAGGGAUGGAGUCAGUAUCCACCCCUUCCCAGCCCUCAUUUAAGGGUUGGCAGUGGAGCUGAGGGUAUCUUUUGCUGGAGAUUCCUGCUUACCUGCGGCCUUCUAAGAGUAAGCAGCUCUUUUCCUUAAUUUUUGCAUCUGUGGCUGUUGCAUUUGGGCUCAUUCUCAUUUGGAGUAGCUAAAGACUUUGACGCCCUGCUAUUAUCCUAUUAUAGCGUUGCAGGCAUUAAUAAUAGUUAAGGAGAUUUAAAUCCAUUAUGACUGUAACACUGGGCAGGCUGCAGGGGUGUGCAGAUGUCAUCUCCAUGUUCUUCUGGAGGAAUUUUGGAUGCUCAGUAGCAGUGAUGCCAGUGUUGGGGCAUGCACCCAGAGCACCCCUGUCUGGAGGAAAUGUAGUUCCCCACAUCUUGCAACGCACAGAGCUGUGAGAACACCAGAAUGCCUGAGCACUCAUCUGCUGCCCAGCUCUUGGCUGCUGCUAGAUGCAGCUCGUGACUUUGAAACCAGUUGUUUGCAAAAGAGCUCUGUGCCAUGCCCUGCAGGGCGAGCAGGGCCUCGUGCUGCAGCUGCUGACUAAUGCAUGACACCUCUGCUGUGAGGCAGUUGUGUUCACUCACCGAGGUCAGGGUGACUCAAAGCAGCACAUGUUCCAUGUCGAUGCCCAGAGGCAGCUGCUGUUUUACAUCAUGACAAUGUCAAUUAUCACCUACAACACUCCUGUAAGGAGUAAAAUGGCAUUGACAAAAGAUGCAAUUAUUUGGCUGUUUGCUUUCUCAGUCCUCUGCUAAUGUCAGUGUCUGGUUGUCUCUCUGAUGAUGCCUUUAAACCACAUGUGUGACAGCUACACUGCGUUGAAAAACACAGCUUUCCCCACCUGUGUGUGCAUGAGGAGAUGUGCUGUUGCAGAGAUGCCCUGAUCUUUCUGAGCACCACUGUAACGCUGCUGGAGAAGCUCAAGGGGGGAUUGUGUCCUUUCCAGUGGAGGCUGGAGGUGCAAUAUUGAUCUCAGCCCCCAUCUCUUGGAUAGCUGGAGUGUCAAGCACUGGGUAGAAUUGCUGUAAGUGCGCUGGCUCUUGCUGUGCUCCUGGCCGUUCCUCUGCUUCAUGUCUAUGUGCUUGGGCCUUUGGAGCUGGCUGCUGCACCAGCCCAGCUCUCGGAGGUGUCCCCCAGCAGCUGCUGCCUGGGGUUGCUUGGGCUGCUCGCAGGAGCUGAGGGCACAGCCCAGCCCGCUGUGCUGGCAGAGGCUGAUAGCCUGCCCAGAGCAAGUUUUUCUCCUCCACCACAGUCAUCUGACCUGUCCUUAGAACGGCAUCUGCUUUUGGGGGGCAAGACCAACAAAAAACAACAGCAACAAAAAGCUUUUGUGAUUCAUCUCUUAUUUAGAGCAUGUGCUAAUGAUGAAUUUGGGUGCAUCCCAUCUUGUCUCUAGGAACAGCUGGAAUAACUUCUGUGUUUUUGCAUUGGAAACAACAAUGUUGCCGAAUCAUAGCUGUUCUUUGUGAAUCUCUCCAUUUCUUUAAGUUGUCAAUUUAUGGAAAAGUGGAAGAAUCUGGUAGUGAAACUGAAACUUCUUGUUUGAUCAUUUUGGUACCAGCAGAUGUGGGGAAUUCAUUCCAGGACAAGUUUAUUGCCUACGUUCACGUUCUGACAUUGCCAAAAUGAGCAGAAAUAAAAGCCUUCCCCACCCCCCUCAAGUUUUUAAAUAUAAUGGGAAAUGUUUUUAUUCUUUGGAGUUGUGGCAGAGUCUGCACAAUUUAACCUUGCAGACUUAUCCUGUUCAACCACAGGUCGUGUGCUGCUGUCCCAGCAGCUGGGGCUGGAUCCAUGCAGUCAGUCUGCACACGACGUGGAGGUUUGCUGAUGCUGCACAGUUGGGUGCAGGCAGUCAUCUGCAGAGCCCUCACGCCUUUGUAUCAUCCAGCCUGAUACUCAUAGCGCUGUUUUACUAAGCCCAAAGCCUUUACUGGUUACACAUGCUCUGCGUCAUUCCUUCCAUUGGCACGUGCUCCGUUCGGCAUUCUCUCAUUCACGUACGACACAGGGAAGGGAUUGUAUACUCCACUGUGAUACCACUUACAUCUCCUCCUUUGUUUCUAGGCAUGUAAUUACAUAUGGAUUUGGACCUUAACAAACCAUGGGUUGCUUUAGGUUACACUUGCUCCUGCCUCAGCCUAACUACGUGUUUUCAUUUAGAUUUUGGCAAGACCUUUGUCUGGCCAGCUGGCUUUUGUGCUCGAGACCAUCCUGUCUUUUGUCUUGAGUUACCCUUCCUUCUUCCCAACUGCAGCCCUGACUGCACUUGCAGUAACAGGGAUGAAUUUAUCAAAUGUUUGUGUAUUCACACAAUUAAAACGCAGAUAUUGAUUUGUUACUUUGAUCUCUUGGCUUCCCUUACCAGAAUGUAGGCAUGUAGACACAAAUACAGGGUGUGGAGGAUCUGUUGCAAAGGGCAAUUUUGAUCUGGCCGUAGCAGCGUGAGCCAUCUGUUGAUUGGCCUUUGUCAGCCAAAUUGUGCUACUAGUUGGCAUAGUGAAUAUGUAUGCAGCACUCUGCAGGACAAAACUCAUAAAUUCAGAUUGCCUUGCAUGAACUUAUAUAUGCAGUUCAGCUCCACAAAGAGAAAGAAAAAGAAAAAAACUGCAUACAUUGCUUAUGCAACAAAAUGUUGCUUAUUUAUAGUGGCAUUUACAAGGUGCAGGGAAAGCUGAUAUCCUCCUCAAUGAUGAGGGCUGAAAACCUCAUUAAAAUGUGUUAUAACAUCAAGUGAUGCAUUUCUGCCCCUACUGCUCCAUUUUAACACAGG